Molecule: transfer-messenger RNA, 377 nt
Filed under: Clostridiaceae bacterium
Lineage: Bacteria; Bacillati; Bacillota; Clostridia; Eubacteriales; Clostridiaceae
Also listed under: 1 other name
Rfam family: transfer-messenger RNA
About the family: Bacterial tmRNA, also known as 10Sa RNA or SsrA, is named for its dual tRNA and mRNA-like properties.
Source: RNAcentral
GGGGGUGUACUGGUUUCGACGGGGUCGUUGAGGCCGGAGAAGCGGGUAGAGGAUCCUCGUCGGCCUCUCAAAAAAACGAGGAAAACAAUAAUUGCUAAUAAAACAGCACUCGUAGCUGCGUAAGUAAGCUACCGUCAGGCCAUUCGAUCUGCUGAGUGGAUAACUGGCGUCAGAUAGCAGACCUCACCUGCGGGCAGGUUAAGCGGGGAAACUGAUCAGAAUAAGCUUUGCCUCUGAUUUGUAUUUAUGAAGCUACCGGACUGUACAGCCUGUCAGUAGGCUAAGCAGAAGGGGAAUACUCUAAAUGCUGACUGCACCCGGAGAUGCUCUGGCGGAUAGGAUUUCGGACAGGGGUUCGACUCCCCUCACCUCCACCA